Populus trichocarpa (black cottonwood) is the source of this 80-nucleotide non-coding RNA. The record is from Rfam. Lineage: Eukaryota; Viridiplantae; Streptophyta; Magnoliopsida; Malpighiales; Salicaceae.
UGCCAGUGAUGCAAUCAUAAUUCACGUAUUAUCAGAUAUGAAGAUGAUGAUGAUACAUGAUUGUCACUACCUCUGAGGCA